This 253-nucleotide ribosomal RNA is filed under the name uncultured bacterium. RNAcentral describes it as "partial 16S ribosomal RNA". It matches the Rfam family "Bacterial small subunit ribosomal RNA", at positions 524 to 776 of the family's 1533-position model. The record is from RNAcentral.
UACAGAGGGUGCGAGCGUUAAUCGGAAUUACUGGGCGUAAAGCGUGCGUAGGCGGUUUCUUAAGUCCGUUGUGAAAGCCCUGGGCUCAACCUGGGAACUGCAGUGGAUACUGAGAAGCUAGAGUGUGUCAGAGGAUGGUGGAAUUCCCGGUGUAGCGGUGAAAUGCGUAGAGAUCGGGAGGAACAUCAGUGGCGAAGGCGGCCAUCUGGGACAACACUGACGCUGAGGCACGAAAGCGUGGGGAGCAAACAGG